AACAUUUUGUUUUAAGUUUGACACAUGUAACGAGUGAAAAAAAGUUUUGGUGUUUCCAUUUAGUGACCCAACACGCGACGAAUACGUUGAGGGGAACUAGUACCACAUCAACAAGAUGUUUCCAUUCCUAAUCUUUAGAAGAAAAACACACCUUAUUAUAAGGGUCUUCAACAAGCUUUAAUGUUUACAGUUCGAGGCUUACAAAAAAUUUCAACCUAUUCACGUCCGUGCACUAAGUCCCAUACUUUUAAAACACAAAAGUUUAUUUCUCCAUAAUUCUACCAUAUAUCUGAAUUAUUUCACUAAAAAAUAGUCUAAGUGUUUUUUUUUAAACAUUUGUUACUCCUUAACAAAACUUGUUUUUUUAAUCGAAAUAACACUAUUAUGUGAAAUGGAGAAAAUCCACAUAAGUAUGUCGCACAGCCCUAGUACACCUAAGAGAGUGUGGAAAAUUAGCCUUGAGUACUAAGACAACCCAACGAGUGAAACUAGAGUCAUUGUUUAAGAAUUCUUUUUUUUUUAUAAUUGUGACCUUCAGAAAAUUCACAACGUUUUCAUACAAUCAUAACUGCCAAAACAACAUCUUUAAAUCAUCAACUUACUAAGUGUCCUCAUACUUUCUGAAGUUUCUUAACAUAGGAAUGUUCUUCGGAACACAUACUUGGCGACGCUUUUAGAUAAUAGAUUGACCGAGGAUUUUUGUAACUGCAACCUCACGGGAUUUUUUUUACUUUCGUAAACUAAAAAAUACAAAUGAACUCUUUAACCAACGUGUUGCGAAUUGAUACUACAAAAAACAAACCUGUCUCUUUAAGGUAUCAUGUUUUGAUGAAAGAAAUAGAAAAUAAAAAACAACUAAGAAGCACACAUGCUGGAAUGUUCUAUGACGAACGCUUUCCACUAGAGACCAUGGCAACACGUUUUGCAACCAUUUUAAACAGAAAGCAAUUUUGUCAGUUUCAAAAAACGGAUCCAAUCUUAGAGCGUAUUGCAAGAAAUUUACCCUUGAAACCAUUUGAACCUCCACCACCAACAACUACUUAUGACUUUGCUUCGAUUCAAAAACAUUCCUUGCACCGAUCCCUGUACGAGUAUCCUUGUCUCUAUAGAAAAACUCUCAACAAUCUACCAUCUCCACAAAUCCCUUUAGAUUUCGUCGAGUUCCGCGCUCUCAAUGCAUCCUGUAAGUAUUUUCAACCCUAUGAGAUUUUAGAAUUAAAGGCCUACAAAUAUUUUAUUAAUAAGGAGCAUCCUAAACGUAUUUCAGAUUCGUACACUGCGAAACCUCCAGCAGUAGAUCUAAUUUCACGCAACUUACAUGUACCUGCGACGCGUUCGCGCGACUUGGAUUCUCACCUUGAUCGCUUGACUAAUACUAUGAUCAAUUUUUACGCAAUGUAAUCGAUAUAUUUUCUUUUUAUCAAUACCGAUUUUAAAAAAAUUUCAUUAAACCUUCCCAGCACCCAUAAAGAAAAGUCAGUUCAAAAAAUUUAUUUUGCUUUACAUACUAUAUUAAAGAACUCAUCUUUGCCUUACUUUCUAAGACGCUAAAGAGAAAAGUAGUAUGUACGUACCAUUGUUUUGCAUUCAUUAGUAGCGUGUCUCUUUUUAAAGAUGGUAUGAAAACAUUACAACUAAAAGCUCGGAAAAAAAUAAUUUGAAAAAGAAAAAAAUUAACACUGUUUAAGAACUUUGGAUUUUUCAAACCCUCA
Molecule: long non-coding RNA, 1712 nt
Organism: Hylaeus volcanicus
Lineage: Eukaryota; Metazoa; Arthropoda; Insecta; Hymenoptera; Colletidae
Exons: 4
Source: RefSeq, a predicted model, not a curated record